AGAGUUUGAUCCUGGCUCAGAUUGAACGCUGGCGGCAUGCCUUACACAUGCAAGUCGAACGCGAAAGGGGGCAACCCCGAGUAGAGUGGCGAACGGGUGAGCAAUACAUCGGAACGUGUCCUGUAGCGGGGGACAACCUCGAGAAAUCGAGGCUAAUACCGCAUACGAUCUACGGAUGAAAGUGGGGGACCGCAAGGCCCCACACUAUAGGAGCGGCCGAUGCCGGAUUAGCUAGUUGGUGGGGUAAUGGCCUACCAAGGCGACGAUCCGUAGCUGGUUUGAGAGAACGACCAGCCACACUGGGACUGAGACACGGCCCAGACUCCUACGGGAGGCAGCAGUGGGGAAUUUUGGACAAUGGGCGAAAGCCUGAUCCAGCCAUGCCGCGUGAGUGAAGAAGGCCUUCGGGUUGUAAAGCUCUUUCGGCGGGGACGAAAUUGCGCGGGGUAACGUCCCGCGUAGAUGACGGUACCCGAAGAAGAAGGACCGGCUAACUACGUGCCAGCAGCCGCGGUAAUACGUAGGGUCCAAGCGUUAAUCGGAAUUACUGGGCGUAAAGCGUGUGCAGGCGGUUUCGAAAGUCCGAUGUGAAAUCCCCGAGCUUAACUUGGGAACUGCGUUGGAAACUACGAGGCUAGAGUGCGGCAGAGGGGGGUGGAAUUCCAGGUGUAGCAGUGAAAUGCGUAGAGAUCUGGAGGAACACCGAUGGCGAAGGCAGCCCCCUGGGUUAGCACUGACGCUGAGACACGAAAGCGUGGGGAGCAAACAGGAUUAGAUACCCUAGUAGUCC
RNAcentral lists this ribosomal RNA (790 nucleotides) under uncultured bacterium. Its description in RNAcentral is "bacterial SSU rRNA". It matches the Rfam family "Bacterial small subunit ribosomal RNA", at positions 8 to 796 of the family's 1533-position model. The record is from RNAcentral.